This 330-nucleotide ribosomal RNA is filed under the name uncultured eukaryote. RNAcentral describes it as "partial 18S ribosomal RNA". It matches the Rfam family "Eukaryotic small subunit ribosomal RNA", at positions 1470 to 1796 of the family's 1831-position model. The record is from RNAcentral.
CCCUUAGAUGUCCUGGGCCGCACGCGCGUUACACUGACAGAUGCAUCAAGCGGUUCACCUUGGCCGACAGGCCCGGGUAAUCUUUGUAAACUCUGUCGUGCUGGGGAUAGAUCAUUGCAAUUAUUGAUCUUCAACGAGGAAUUCCUAGUAAGCGUGAGUCAUCAGCUCGCGUUGAUUACGUCCCUGCCCUUUGUACACACCGCCCGUCGCUCCUACCGAUUGAAUGAUCCGAUGAAUACCAUGGAUUGAGAGUACGAAUAGGUUCGCUUAUUUCUGCUUCUCGAGAAGUGGAGUAAAUCUUAUCAUUUAGAGGAAGGAGAAGUCGUAACA